GAUGAACGCUGGCGGCGUGCCUAAUACAUGCAAGUCGAGCGAGCAGAUGAAGUGCUUGCACUUCUGACGUUAGCGGCGAACGGGUGAGUAACACGUAAGGAAUCUACCUAUAAGCGGGGGAUAACAUUCGGAAACGGGUGCUAAUACCGCAUAAAAUCUUCUUCCGCAUGGAAGAAGAUUGAAAGACGGCUCUGCUGUCACUUAUAGAUGACCUUGCGGUGCAUUAGUUAGUUGGUGGGGUAACGGCCUACCAAGACGAUGAUGCAUAGCCGACCUGAGAGGGUGAUCGGCCACAUUGGGACUGAGACACGGCCCAAACUCCUACGGGAGGCAGCAGUAGGGAAUCUUCCGCAAUGGGCGAAAGCCUGACGGAGCAAUGCCGCGUGAGUGAAGAAGGCCUUCGGGUCGUAAAACUCUGUUAUAAGAGAAGAACAAAUUGUAGAGUAACUGCUACAGUCUUGACGGUAUCUUAUCAGAAAGCCACGGCUAACUACGUGCCAGCCGCCGCCGUAA
This 513-nucleotide ribosomal RNA is filed under the name uncultured bacterium. Its description in RNAcentral is "partial 16S ribosomal RNA". It matches the Rfam family "Bacterial small subunit ribosomal RNA", at positions 28 to 523 of the family's 1533-position model. The record is from RNAcentral.